AUUGAACGCUGGCGGCAGGCCUAACACAUGCAAGUCGAACGGUAACAGGAAGAAGCUUGCUUCUUUGCUGACGAGUGGCGGACGGGUGAGUAAUGUCUGGGAAACUGCCUGAUGGAGGGGGAUAACUACUGGAAACGGUAGCUAAUACCGCAUAACGUCGCAAGACCAAAGAGGGGGACCUUCGGGCCUCUUGCCAUCGGAUGUGCCCAGAUGGGAUUAGCUAGUAGGUGGGGUAACGGCUCACCUAGGCGACGAUCCCUAGCUGGUCUGAGAGGAUGACCAGCCACACUGGAACUGAGACACGGUCCAGACUCCUACGGGAGGCAGCAGUGGGGAAUAUUGCACAAUGGGCGCAAGCCUGAUGCAGCCAUGCCGCGUGUAUGAAGAAGGCCUUCGGGUGGUAAAGUACUUUCAGCGGGGAGGAAGGGAGUAAAGUUAAUACCUUUGCUCAUUGACGUUACCCGCAGAAGAAGCACCGGCUAACUCCGUG
Molecule: ribosomal RNA, 490 nt
Filed under: uncultured bacterium
Lineage: Bacteria
Description: partial 16S ribosomal RNA
Rfam family: Bacterial small subunit ribosomal RNA
Source: RNAcentral